UGGGGGAAUAUUGCACAAUGGGGGAAACCCUGAUGCAGCGACGCCGCGUGAACGAAGAAGUAUUUCGGUAUGUAAAGUUCUAUCAGCAGGGAAGAUAAUGACGGUACCUGACUAAGAAGCACCGGCUAAAUACGUGCCAGCAGCCGCGGUAAUACGUAUGGUGCAAGCGUUAUCCGGAUUUACUGGGUGUAAAGGGAGCGCAGGCGGUGCGGCAAGUCUGAUGUGAAAGCCCGGGGCUCAAACCCCGGUACUGCAUUGGAAACUGUCGUACUAGAGUGUCGGAGGGGUAAGUGGAAUUCCUAGUGUAGCGGUGAAAUGCGUAGAUAUCAUGAAGAAACUCCGAUCGCGAAGGCAGGUGUCCGGAGUGCUACUGACGCUGAGGCUCGAAGGUGUGGGUAUCAAACAGGAUUAGAUACCCUGUAGU
Molecule: ribosomal RNA, 424 nt
Filed under: uncultured Roseburia sp.
Lineage: Bacteria; Bacillati; Bacillota; Clostridia; Lachnospirales; Lachnospiraceae
Description: bacterial SSU rRNA
Rfam family: Bacterial small subunit ribosomal RNA
Source: RNAcentral